This 253-nucleotide ribosomal RNA is filed under the name uncultured bacterium. RNAcentral's name for it is "partial 16S ribosomal RNA". It matches the Rfam family "Bacterial small subunit ribosomal RNA", at positions 524 to 776 of the family's 1533-position model. The record is from RNAcentral.
UACGUAGGGUGCAAGCGUUAUCCGGAAUUAUUGGGCGUAAAGAGCUCGUAGGCGGUUUGUCACGUCUGCUGUGAAAACUGGAGGCUCAACCUCCAGCCUGCAGUGGGUACGGGCAGACUAGAGUGCGGUAGGGGAGAUUGGAAUUCCUGGUGUAGCGGUGGAAUGCGCAGAUAUCAGGAGGAACACCGGUGGCGAAGGCGGGUCUCUGGGCCGAUACUGACGCUGAGGAGCGAAAGCGUGGGGAGCGAACAGG